CCUCCUUCUAUUUUGCACUAUAGGAAUCUUGUUGAGAAGAUUACUUGUUGAUAGACACUUGAAAGGUGUUACUCAUGUUAUUGUUGAUGAGAUUCAUGAACGAUAUUGGUUGGCUCUCAACGCGAGGAUUUCAGCGGGCCAGUAGCAAGAGAUUCUUUCUGUGAGAUGCGGUAGUACGAUGUAUUUACAGUUCCAAAGGGAAGAACUCAGGAUGAUUGCAGAGCACACACCAUCUCAUUCCAUAUUUUCUUGGUUUACUCUAAUGUGAUAUGAUGAUUGAUACAUUUGUUUUAUUUGGAUUUUUAUGAUGAUGUUUUUGGGAUACUUGUUUUAUUAAUUUAAAAAUGAAAUUGU
This is a long non-coding RNA of Lactuca sativa (garden lettuce), 354 nucleotides long. RefSeq lists it as uncharacterized. NCBI's taxonomy places the organism in Eukaryota, Viridiplantae, Streptophyta, Magnoliopsida, Asterales, Asteraceae. The record is from RefSeq and is a predicted model, not a curated record.